ACUGGGUCCCAUAGAUAGCCAUUAUAUAGACACCCACAAUAUUCACAAAGUGAAAUACACUCAAACUUGAAAGCUCUAAGAGGAGAGAAAAACAUCCAGCUUAUUCAUUUAAAGCUUUCAGGAUUGAACAAAAUGGGAGGUGGUGGCAAUAUGAGUACUCCAGCAACUAAAACUGGA
Long non-coding RNA from Capsicum annuum, 177 nucleotides. RefSeq lists it as uncharacterized. The record is from RefSeq and is a predicted model, not a curated record. Lineage: Eukaryota; Viridiplantae; Streptophyta; Magnoliopsida; Solanales; Solanaceae. The transcript is spliced from 2 exons.